RNAcentral lists this transfer RNA (76 nucleotides) under Serratia sp. OLDL1. Its description in RNAcentral is "tRNA-Phe". It matches the Rfam family "tRNA". From Rfam's summary of the family: Transfer RNA (tRNA) molecules are approximately 80 nucleotides in length. Lineage: Bacteria; Pseudomonadati; Pseudomonadota; Gammaproteobacteria; Enterobacterales; Yersiniaceae. The record is from RNAcentral.
GCCCGGUUAGCUCAGUCGGUAGAGCAGGGGAUUGAAAAUCCCCGUGUCCUUGGUUCGAUUCCGAGUCCGGGCACCA